GACGAACCGGACAAACGUUAUUCGGAAUCACUGGGCUUAAAGGGUGCGUAGGCGGCGCGGCAAGUUGGGUGUGAAAUCCCUCGGCUCAACCGAGGAAUAGCGCCCAAAACUGCCGUGCUCGAGGGAGACAGAGGUGAGUGGAACUUAGGGUGGAGCGGUGAAAUGCGUUGAGAUCCUAAGGAACUCCGGUGGCGAAAGCGACUCACUGGGUCUCUGCUGACGCUGAGGCACGAAAGAUAGGGGAGCGAACGGG
Molecule: ribosomal RNA, 253 nt
Filed under: uncultured bacterium
Lineage: Bacteria
Description: partial 16S ribosomal RNA
Rfam family: Bacterial small subunit ribosomal RNA
Source: RNAcentral